CCUGCCAGUAGUCAUAUGCUUGUCUCAAAGAUUAAACCAUGCAUGUCUAAGUAUAACUCAAUUUAUAUGAGAAGACUGCGAAUAUCUCCUUAAAUCAGCAAUCGUUUAUUUGAUCGUAACUGAAGGAUUACUUUGGUAUAAUUGGAUAACUGCGGUAAUUCUGGAGCUAAUACAUGCUAAAAAGCGGCGCGUCGCAAGGCGCGCCGCUGUAUUUAUUAGAUUUACAAAACCAAUACAGUCGUUCGGGCAUUCCAAACGCCAGCAAUGGCGGCUCGGGCGGCGAAACAAAAACUCGUUGGUGAUUCACAAUAACUUUUUCGGAUCGUGUGCGGGGCGACUCGCGACGACGUUUCAUUCAAAUUUCUGAUCUAUCAUCUUGUAGUCAGUAUAGAGAACUGACUAGGAAGCGACGGAUACGGGGAAUUAGAGUUUGGUUCCGGAGAAUCCGCCUGAGAAACGGCGAAUACAUCCAAGGAUGGCAGCAGGUGCGCAAAUUGCCCAAUCCUAAUACAGGGAGGCAGUGACAAGAAAUAACAAUGCAGGCCUCUUGAAAUAUAGAGACUGCAAUUGGAAUGAGUACAAUUUAAAACGCUUAACAAGGAACAAUUGGAGGGCAAGUCUGGUGCCAGCAGCCGCGGUAAUUCCAGCUCCAAUAGCGUAUGCUAAAAUUGCUGUAGUUGAAAAGCUCGUAGUUGGAUUUCGGAGUAAAAAGGAUGGGAUGGAGUGGUUAGCUCAAAAGGCUAACGUACGCCACCUAUCUGUCGAGAUUUAACUUGGUAUGAGGAACCAGCUGCUUUUCAAAAAGUGGCGAGUUUUUCUUCCGAGGUCUCUUUACUCCUUUUUCUUGAAUGGAGAUUUUCUUAUUUGCGUUUCGGCGUAAAGGGGAUUUUUUCAUUCAAGAAGGUACGACUGGUUUGCUCGUAGCUAUUCUUUAUUGAAUAGCUAUUAUCUCAGGAAAGUGCAGGGAGCAAUCUCUGUAUUUUCUUGGGGUUUGGUGUCAGGGAGUUUUUUUUCCUUGGCAACAGAGCUCCAGUCCUUUUACCUUGAAUAAAACAGAGUGUUCAAAGCAGGCUUAAAUUCGGCUGUCAAACGUCGAAAAACGCCUUGUAUGCUUCAGCAUGGGAUAAUGGAACAGGACCAGGUUGGGUCACGUGCAUAUUUCGUUUUGGUUUUCAGCCGUGAACAAAUUGAAUCUAAUAAAUUCACCCAACCGGUGAUGAUUGACAGGGACUGUCGGGGACAUUGGUAUUUAAUUGUCAGAGG
RNAcentral lists this ribosomal RNA (1263 nucleotides) under uncultured soil eukaryote. RNAcentral describes it as "partial small subunit ribosomal RNA". It matches the Rfam family "Eukaryotic small subunit ribosomal RNA", at positions 13 to 911 of the family's 1831-position model. The record is from RNAcentral.